AUUGAACGCUGGCGGCAGGCCUAACACAUGCAAGUCGAACGAGUGGCGGGCGGGUGAGUAAUGUCUGGGAAACUGCAUGAUGGAGGGGGAUAACUACUGGAAACGGUAGCUAAUACAGAAUACCAUCAGAUAUGCCCAGAUGGUAUUAGCUUGUUGGUGGGGUAACGGUUCACCAAGUCGACGAUCCAUAGCUGGUCUGAGAGGAUGAGCCGUCACACGGCAACUGAGACACUGUCCAGACUCCGACGGGAGGCACCAGCGGGAAAUAUUGGACAAUGGGCGCAAGCCUGAUGUAGCCAAGCCGCGUGAAUGAAGAAGGCCUUCGGGUUGUAAAGUACGUCCCGCGGGGAGGCGUUACCUGCAGAAGAAGCACCGGCUAACUCCGUGCCAGCAGCCGCGGUAAUAC
Molecule: ribosomal RNA, 406 nt
Filed under: uncultured bacterium
Lineage: Bacteria
Description: partial 16S ribosomal RNA
Rfam family: Bacterial small subunit ribosomal RNA
Source: RNAcentral